Molecule: long non-coding RNA, 422 nt
Organism: Sapajus apella (tufted capuchin)
Lineage: Eukaryota; Metazoa; Chordata; Mammalia; Primates; Cebidae
Exons: 2
Source: RefSeq, a predicted model, not a curated record
ACAUCUGGCCGUGUCUUCUAUUAAUAUUUACUGAGUUUCUAUGACCUAUCAGGCGCUGAGUGAAAUACUUUACAUGUUGUGGCAGAGAAUGGCCAGAUGCUUAGCAAUCACAGUUCCUCUUCCUGGGCACAUAGGGCAACUAUAUUUCCCGGUCCCCCUUGCAGUUAAGUAGAAUAUGUGACUGGCUUUUAAGAAAUGUAAAGUUGAGUUGAUGGGUGCCACUUCCAGGCCUGGGUGCUAACUCUGUCUUUGCUAUUCUGCCAGUCAGCUGGAGGUGUCCAGUGGAGGAUUCUAAGGGGAUAGAGGGAGCUUGGGUCCCUGAAUCACCUCUUGGAGGACAGCUGUGCAGAAAAGACACCCAGUUUGCAUCAGUCUAUUGAUUGGGACACCCCAAAAUUCCAGUGGAAAAUUACCAGGACCAU